RNAcentral lists this ribosomal RNA (1181 nucleotides) under uncultured bacterium. Its description in RNAcentral is "bacterial SSU rRNA". It matches the Rfam family "Bacterial small subunit ribosomal RNA", at positions 37 to 1220 of the family's 1533-position model. The record is from RNAcentral.
UGGCGGCGUGCCUAACACAUGCAAGUCGAGCGAAGCACUUGCGAAUGAUCCUUCGGGUGAUUUUGCUGGUGACUGAGCGGCGGACGGGUGAGUAACGCGUGGGUAACCUGCCUCAUACAGGGGGAUAACAGUUAGAAAUGACUGCUAAUACCGCAUAAGCGCACAGUACCACAUGGUACGGUGUGAAAAACUCCGGUGGUAUGAGAUGGACCCGCGUCUGAUUAGCUGGUUGGUGGGGUAACGGCCCACCAAGGCAACGAUCAGUAGCCGACCUGAGAGGGUGAUCGGCCACAUUGGGACUGAGACACGGCCCAAACUCCUACGGGAGGCAGCAGUGGGGAAUAUUGCACAAUGGGGGAAACCCUGAUGCAGCAACGCCGCGUGAGUGAAGAAGUAUUUCGGUAUGUAAAGCUCUAUCAGCAGGGAAGAAAAUGACGGUACCUGACUAAGAAGCCCCGGCUAACUACGUGCCAGCAGCCGCGGUAAUACGUAGGGGGCAAGCGUUAUCCGGAUUUACUGGGUGUAAAGGGAGCGUAGACGGCAGCGCAAGUCUGAAGUGAAAGCCCGGGGCUCAACCCCGGAAUGGCUUUGGAAACUGUGCGGCUAGAGUACCGGAGGGGUAAGCGGAAUUCCUAGUGUAUCGGUGAAAUGCGUAGAUAUUAGGAGGAACACCAGUGGCGAAGGCGGCUUACUGGACGGUAACUGACGUUGAGGCUCGAAAGCGUGGGGAGCAAACAGGAUUAGAUACCCUGGUAGUCCACGCGGUAAACGAUGAAUGCUAGGUGUUGGUGAGCAAAGCUCAUCGGUGCCGCCGCAAACGCAUUAAGCUUUCCACCUGGGGAGUACGUUCGCAAGAAUGAAACUCAAAGGAAUUGACGGGGACCCGCACAAGCUUUGGAGCAUGUGGUUUAAUUCAAAGCAACGCGAAGAACCUUACCAAGUCUUGACAUCCCGAUGAAAGAUCCUUAACCGGAUUCCCUCUUCGGAGCAUCGGAGACAGGUGGUGCAUGGUUGUCGUCAGCUCGUGUCGUGAGAUGUUGGGUUAAGUCCCUCAACGAGCGCAACCCUUAUCCUCAGUAGCCAGCAGUGAGAUGGGCACUCUGGUGAGACUGCCAGGGAUAACCUGGAAAAACGCGGGGAUGACGUCAAAUCAUCAUGCCCCUUAUGAUUUGGGCUACACA